This 253-nucleotide ribosomal RNA is filed under the name uncultured bacterium. Its description in RNAcentral is "partial 16S ribosomal RNA". It matches the Rfam family "Bacterial small subunit ribosomal RNA", at positions 524 to 776 of the family's 1533-position model. The record is from RNAcentral.
UACGGGGGGGGUAAGCGUUGUUCGGAAUUACUGGGCGUAAAGGGCUCGUAGGCGGCCAACUAAGUCAGACGUGAAAUCCCUCGGCUUAACCGGGGAACUGCGUCUGAUACUGGAUGGCUUGAGUUUGGGAGAGGGAUGCGGAAUUCCAGGUGUAGCGGUGAAAUGCGUAGAUAUCUGGAGGAACACCGGUGGCGAAGGCGGCAUCCUGGACCAACACUGACACUGAUGAGCGAAAGCCAGGGGAGCAAACGGG